Hippopotamus amphibius kiboko is the source of this 255-nucleotide long non-coding RNA. RefSeq lists it as uncharacterized. NCBI's taxonomy places the organism in Eukaryota, Metazoa, Chordata, Mammalia, Artiodactyla, Hippopotamidae. The transcript has 4 exons. The record is from RefSeq and is a predicted model, not a curated record.
CAGCUCAUGACUUUUGUCAGAUUCUCAGAAGUCUGAGUGCAGCGUGAGGUUCCGGACACCAACGUAAGGUGUGGUCCCAGCACCAGGAGCAGAAGUGCUUGCUGGCACAGAAAGGGCUCAGGCUUCUGGGGAGCUUGCCACGUCUGUCUGUCUUUGGCUGUGUCCUUGCAGCCUCAAGUCACGCAGGUAGGAGAGUCUGAGCCUAACCAGUAGCUGUCUCUGAACCUACAGACUGACUAUGAGCGGCCUUUGAAA